RNA transcript from Athalia rosae (coleseed sawfly), 1531 nucleotides. It is a transcript of the gene named glutaredoxin-3, with no coding region annotated. The transcript has 4 exons. Lineage: Eukaryota; Metazoa; Arthropoda; Insecta; Hymenoptera; Athaliidae. The record is from RefSeq and is a predicted model, not a curated record.
UAGCAGUAUCAUAGUUGGUACCGCGACCAGUUCUAAGCUCGACGCCACUGCUCAACGUUAAAAAUAGGCAAAGAGAAAAUAGGAACCGGAGCGGGAGCGGGAGGAGGUGGACGGGAAACUGGCCUCCAUGACCGUAGAGUACGAAGUAGCGUAGCUCGAUAAAUUUUGAGCCCGUGAAAAUUAUCGUUCUCUUUUAUUGAAUUUAUUUAUCUUAAAUAUAUCCUCGCUUUCGAUUUGAGACAAGCAGCCACAAAAUGGCCGUCACCAAUUUGACAAACGCUGAUGAGUUCUAUGCAUAUGUCAAGUCGCAGGAUCUAUCUGUGGUUCAUUUUUACGCGGCUUGGGCGGCCCAAUGCGUUCAAAUAAACGACGUCCUCGACGAGAUGGUGAAAUCAUCGGACCUCAACGGUGUGAAUUUUGCGAAAAUAGCUGCAGAAGAUGUUCCAGAAGUUUCGUUAAAAUUUGGAGUAUCAGCGGUACCAACUAUAUUGCUUUUGAAGAAUUCUGAGGUUACCGAUCGAGUCGACGGCGCUAAUCCGGCAGAAUUAUUGACGAGAGUUAAACAGCAGAUGUCGUUAAAAAAUCCGAUUUCUGCCGCAGAAAUUCAAAAAUCAAAAGAAGAUAUUGAAGUAAGGUUGAAAAAAUUGAUCAAUCAAGCACCUUGCAUGCUUUUCAUGAAGGGAAACCCUUCCAAUCCAAGGUGUGGAUUUUCAAGGACGAUUGUCUCGAUCUUAAACUCUCAUAAAGCAGAUUAUCAAACCUUUGAUAUCCUCCAAGACAACGAAGUCAGGGAAGGUUUGAAAAAAUUCAGCGAUUGGCCAACUUAUCCGCAACUUUAUUUAAAUGGUGAACUUCUUGGCGGUUUGGAUAUCGUCAGAGAAUUGGGAGAAACUGGUGAUCUAGAAGCAAUGUUGCCUAAAGUCGGUUCAGAAGAAAGGACCAAAACGUCAUCACCAAGGAUAGGAUAGCAAUCGUUAUAAAAGGAAUGACGGAUGACGAAAAAAAGGAGCUGUUCGCAAAACAAAUUAUGGACACGAUAGAUAAAAUAAAUUAAACCUCAUAACAUCGAUAUCACGGUACGCUUCGAGACGAUGAUGAGCGCUUCGUACGAAACGUCUGACAUCCUCCGACAUAUCGUUAGACGAACAAUCAAGAAUUGCUCCCGAGUCCUACUCGACGAGGCCAACUUACCCCCAGAUUUACGUCGACGAUGAUUCUAUCAGAGGAUUCGAAACCUUGAAGACCUUGUCGCAGCGAUGAAAUUUUUUUGGCAAGCUUAUGUCAUCCGUACAAAAGGAGGAGCAGAUUUUUUCAACUUCGCAAAGAUACGCUGCUGAUUUUUCAAACAGACGAAGGAGAAAAAUGUUAGCAAUGUAAUUCGUGACCUGGAAUCUCGGAAUCCGCAACGUAACGAGUGAAAUGGAAUGAAAUAGAAUAAAAAAUGGGAAAUCGUAUUUGUACGGUAUAAGAAUAGUUUCGAUGUAUGAACGAAAUUCCGAUUCUUGGUAAAUAAAUGAUCAUUCGAGACGUA